RNAcentral lists this long non-coding RNA (2149 nucleotides) under Triticum aestivum (bread wheat). Its description in RNAcentral is "long non-coding RNA (TAES_LNC005291)". Lineage: Eukaryota; Viridiplantae; Streptophyta; Magnoliopsida; Poales; Poaceae. The record is from RNAcentral.
UUCUUGUCUCUCAAAAAAAGUUUGUCUUCUUGAUUUUUCUGGCUGCGGGGCAUGGGAACCGUGGAUCGAUCCCCACAUACACAGGUACUAUAAUUUUUUUUCGUAUGCUUCUUCUAGAUUUCGUUUUGAGCCGAUAGGUGCGAGAUGUGGCAUCACUUCUCGGCUCUACAAAAUCCAUUGCUGAAGUGCGUGUCCUGGGGUCCCAGCCUCCAUCACUUCUUCAGUUCCCGCAAGGUUCGAGAACAAAAAAAAUCAGUGUGGAAGACCACUAGCAGAAUUGGAUGUUGUAUGCACCUUCAUCUUCCAGUCCAAUUACUUAGAUUAUUUGGGACAAAUUCAUUUGCUUUUAACCGUACCAAAGUUAUAUAGCAGGAUAAGGAUACAUGCUUGUACUGCCUCUAUCACAAAUUGCACAUGAGUUAACUAGAAAGCUAGCAAUCAAUCGCUCUGAAGGUAUUGCUCUUUUAUUUUAUUUCAGAUCGUGAGGAAAGGGGUUUCGAUAUGUGACUACUCUAUGCUGUACUAACUACCUUAUGUUGUACUGACUAAUCUUAGAAAUAUAUUUGGUCCAGGAGUAGUACAUAGAGCACUUCUGGAUCAGAUAUACACAUGCUAUUCACCUUCAUAACCCAAUUUUUUUUGCUUAUGACGAUGUUUAUUAUCGGAAAGCUCUUGACAAAAGCAUCAAGUAAUGAGCCAAUACUCAAAUAACUGACCCACCUACAAUCUUUUUUUCUAAUGGCAAUAUUAUAUACACAACAAUAAUUUUUUACAUUUUUCUUAUUGUUGCAAAUAUAUAUCUUGGUAGUUAUAAAUGACACAUCUAUUUGGUCAUCAGUUGCUUAUCUGUAGUGCUUAGGAGAGUUUUUUUUAUUGGAAAUGACUUUUGAUUCUUGGUUCUUGAGGUGGUAUAUUACACUGAAGCACUUCAAAUCUUGGCUCUGGCUAAGCAUAAUAUAUUACCUUACUACUGAGAUUUGGCUACUAAUGAUAUAUGUUACCAUUGUUUUUGUUGUCUUUGAUAGUAUAAAAGAUCGGAAGAUCAGCUAUCACUGCUCCUGUUUGUUGGUAGAUUUGGCAAACCCUCUAAGUUCAUUUUUCACGAAAAUAUAGUUUGUACACUGGUUCGAAUUAAUAUAUUGAUGUAAGUUGGGAAUAUCCAAGUUUCUUUAUACUAGUAUAAGUUCAGAAUUUGUAACACCAUUCUACUACUUACACAAGAGCCUUGUGGCUAAUCAUACUUGAUCCUGUGUGCUCUUAUCUGUAGGUAUGGGUUAAACAUCAUUGUCAAUUUUGAUAUGUUUGACGGGAUGAAUGAUGCGUCAGAUUCUUCUAAAACUGCCACUAUUCCGUACGUAUCUGUCGCAACCUGAAUUUAUGUCUGUCAUGCAUUCAUUAUCUUUGUUUUGUGAGGCUCGAUCAACUUUUAGCUUUUGUCCUCUUGGAGACGUCCUCCUUGAACAGCUUGGAUUCAGUCAUCAAGUCCAUCAUAGGUUUCUGCUGCAUGCCCAGCAUCCGCUUGCACUUAGACAGGGAGGGAGGGAAGGAUCUGCCAUAUUGAAGCAUCCAAUAUUUAUGCUUACCCCGAUCUCUAGAGUCAAGGAUUCUCCACUGAUUGAAAGAUGCAAAUACUGAGUAUGCUAACUAGAGUAAUGCUAACUACUUUAUAUCAGCGCAUUUUAUUUGAUUCUUUUAGUAUCUAGACAAUAUUGCAUGACCAAAUCAUAAUAGACCGGGUGAUUGACGUUCGCCUACCUGUAAGGAUUCUCCCAGGUUGUAUCUAUCGAGGAGUGAGCGGAGGAGCGGGAUUAGGAGAUGCCCAUGGUGGCCUAGCAGUUGCUGUCUCCCCGAUGGCUUGAUAAUAUGCCAGACAGCUUCUUGUGUGUUUGCAGCUUGCUAAACAUUCGUCAAAAUUAUGGUUCGCUUGCACCUUGUACAAGUAUGAAUUUUUGCCAUAUCCCACUUCAGGGCAUAAAUUACUAUUUUUUUCAAAACGGCAACGCAUAAAUUAAGGUUUUUUUAUAUUGGAUCGAUAUUUGUAUGGUUGACUUUGACAUAACCUUUUACAACCAGCUACAUAGAAUGGUAAAUCACUAAACUGCAAUUCUUCAGUCUCCCUGUGUUCUAAAAAUAAAAUGCUUGGAACUUU